This 559-nucleotide unclassified non-coding RNA is filed under the name Hevea brasiliensis (rubber tree). Lineage: Eukaryota; Viridiplantae; Streptophyta; Magnoliopsida; Malpighiales; Euphorbiaceae. The record is from RNAcentral.
AAGAUUGAAAAUAAAGGUACUAGGGGAGGGAUUAAAGGAGCAUGAGUGUCUAUGGGUUGUCUGCAAUCUUGGGUGUGGUAGUUUGAUGAGAUUCCCAUGAAUUUUUAUCCUCCACAACACUAAUUCUUGUGAUUUCCUAGGUUUCAACACCAUAUUCUAGUGGAUCGGUAAAUUCCAAGUCUAGUGGUAGUGUUUUUGUUUUUAAGCAAAUGGAAGUGCUUGCUGGAGGUGGAAACAAAGAAGGCAGAGCCGUGAGAAUAAGAUGUGUGCCUAGGUGCAUGAGCCGAGUGCUUGUUAAAGGUUGCCUGGCUUUCUCAUGUAGAGGUGUAAGGGUUGGAGCAUUGUGCCACAGUUGCGUCUUUAGCAACAUUAGUUGCCCCAUAGUUAACCAAUAACUUGUCUAUUGAAUAUUGCAGUUCUUGUGUGUGGCAUUUGUUGUUAUAUACAUGUACAAUAAGUGGAGUUGGUUUUUUAGAAGAAAGGCUUUUUUUUUUAGCCUUCUUUUUUUUGACUUGCUUUUCUAUGUAUGAAAUUUUUUUUGUUUCUUUGUAAUUUUUUU